RNAcentral lists this transfer RNA (72 nucleotides) under Paenirhodobacter enshiensis. RNAcentral describes it as "Rhodobacter sp. DW2-9 tRNA". It matches the Rfam family "tRNA". From Rfam's summary of the family: Transfer RNA (tRNA) molecules are approximately 80 nucleotides in length. Their secondary structure includes four short double-helical elements and three loops (D, anti-codon, and T loops). Lineage: Bacteria; Pseudomonadati; Pseudomonadota; Alphaproteobacteria; Rhodobacterales. The record is from Rfam by way of RNAcentral.
GCCGGCGUAGCUCAGUGGUAGAGCGGCGAUCUUGUAAGUCGAGGGUCGGGGGUUCAAAUCCCUCCGCCGGCA